This 1387-nucleotide ribosomal RNA is filed under the name Boeremia exigua. RNAcentral's name for it is "partial large subunit ribosomal RNA". It matches the Rfam family "Eukaryotic large subunit ribosomal RNA", at positions 40 to 1445 of the family's 3401-position model. The record is from RNAcentral. Lineage: Eukaryota; Fungi; Ascomycota; Dothideomycetes; Pleosporales; Didymellaceae.
AUAUCAAUAAGCGGAGGAAAAGAAACCAACAGGGAUUGCCCUAGUAACGGCGAGUGAAGCGGCAACAGCUCAAAUUUGAAAUCUGGCGUCUUUGGCGUCCGAGUUGUAAUUUGCAGAGGGCGCUUUGGCAUUGGCAGCGGUCCAAGUUCCUUGGAACAGGACGUCACAGAGGGUGAGAAUCCCGUACGUGGUCGCUAGCCUUUACCGUGUAAAGCCCCUUCGACGAGUCGAGUUGUUUGGGAAUGCAGCUCUAAAUGGGAGGUAAAUUUCUUCUAAAGCUAAAUACUGGCCAGAGACCGAUAGCGCACAAGUAGAGUGAUCGAAAGAUGAAAAGCACUUUGGAAAGAGAGUUAAAAAGCACGUGAAAUUGUUGAAAGGGAAGCGCUUGCAGCCAGACUUGCCUGUAGUUGCUCAUCCGGGUUUUUACCCGGUGCACUCUUCUAUAGGCAGGCCAGCAUCAGUUUGGGCGGUUGGAUAAAGGUCUCUGUCACGUACCUCCUCUCGGGGAGAACUUAUAGGGGAGACGUAAUGCAACCAGCCUGGACUGAGGUCCGCGCAUCUGCUAGGAUGCUGGCGUAAUGGCUGUAAGCGGCCCGUCUUGAAACACGGACCAAGGAGUCUAACAUCUAUGCGAGUGUUUGGGUGUCAAGCCCGAGCGCGUAAUGAAAGUGAACGGAGGUGGGAACCUUUCGGGGUGCACCAUCGACCGAUCCUGAUGUCUUCGGAUGGAUUUGAGUAAGAGCAUAGCUGUUGGGACCCGAAAGAUGGUGAACUAUGCUUGAAUAGGGUGAAGCCAGAGGAAACUCUGGGUGGAGGCUCGCAGCGGUUCUGACGUGCAAAUCGAUCGUCAAAUUUGGGCAUAGGGGCGAAAGACUAAUCGAACUAUCUAGUAGCUGGUUCCUGCCGAAGUUUCCCUCAGGAUAGCAGUAACGUUUUCAGUUUUAUGAGGUAAAGCGAAUGAUUAGAGGCCUGGGGGUUGAAACAACCUUCACCUAUUCUCAAACUUUAAAUAUGUAAGAAGUCCUUGUUACUUAAUUGAACGUGGACAGUUGAAUGUAUCGUUACUAGUGGGCCAUUUUUGGUAAGCAGAACUGGCGAUGCGGGAUGAACCGAACGCGGGGUUAAGGUGCCAGAAUAUACGCUCAUCAGACACCACAAAAGGUGUUAGUUCAUCUAGACAGCAGGACGGUGGCCAUGGAAGUCGGAAUCCGCUAAGGAGUGUGUAACAACUCACCUGCCGAAUGAACUAGCCCUGAAAAUGGAUGGCGCUCAAGCGUAUUACCCAUACCCCGCCGCUGGGGCAAGAUUUAAGCCCCAGCGAGUAGGCAGGCGUGGAGGUCCGUGACGAAGCCUUGGGGGUGACCCCGGGUCGAACGGCCUCUAGUGC